Molecule: ribosomal RNA, 245 nt
Filed under: uncultured beta proteobacterium
Lineage: Bacteria; Pseudomonadati; Pseudomonadota; Betaproteobacteria
Description: partial 16S ribosomal RNA
Rfam family: Bacterial small subunit ribosomal RNA
Source: RNAcentral
UACGUAGGGUGCGAGCGUUAAUCGGAAUUACUGGGCGUAAAGCGUGCGCAGGCGGUUUUGAAAGUCAGAUGUGAAAUCCCCGGGCUCAACCUGGGAACUGCGUUUGAAACUCCAAAGCUAGAGUAUGGGAGAGGGAGGUAGAAUUCCACGUGUAGCAGUGAAAUGCGUAGAGAUGUGGAGGAAUACCGAUGGCGAAGGCAGCCUCCUGGCCCAAUACUGACGCUCAUGCACGAAAGCGUGGGGAG